AACGAACGCUGGCGGCAGGCCUAACACAUGCAAGUCGAGCGGGGACUUCGGUCCUAGCGGCGGACGGGUGAGUAACGCGUGGGAACGUGCCCUUUGCUUCGGAAUAGCCCCUGGAAACGGGGAGUAAUACCGGAUGUGCUCGAGAGAGGAAAGAUUUUUCGGCAAAGGAUCGGCCCCGCGUUGGAUUAGGUAGUUGGUGGGGUAAUGGCCUACCAAGCCGACGAUCCAUAGCUGGUUUGAGAGGAUGAUCAGCCACACUGGGACUGAGACACGGCCCAGACUCCUACGGGAGGCAGCAGUGGGGAAUAUUGGACAAUGGGGGGCAACCCUGAUCCAGCCAUGCCGCGUGAGUGAAGAAGGCC
Molecule: ribosomal RNA, 362 nt
Filed under: uncultured bacterium
Lineage: Bacteria
Description: bacterial SSU rRNA
Rfam family: Bacterial small subunit ribosomal RNA
Source: RNAcentral